Molecule: long non-coding RNA, 1064 nt
Organism: Gasterosteus aculeatus aculeatus (three-spined stickleback)
Lineage: Eukaryota; Metazoa; Chordata; Actinopteri; Perciformes; Gasterosteidae
Source: Ensembl
CUUUAAAGAUGACUCAUUUAAGGCAGCCAAGUAUAAAUAUUUGCAUGUAGUCAUACAUUAUACUACUUGUGACUGGAAAAGCUACAAACCCACAGUAUUACACUGUCACUCUGAGGGAAUAACACACUUCCUCUUGUUGAAAAAGUGAGACACAGAGUUAGAGAGGCUUAUCAGGGGAGAUGUGCAUCUCUCAGACUGUCUGCCGCAUGAGCCCCGUUAGGUCUGACCAGGUGCUUUCAGCCUUAGUUUUUUUUGGAAAAUUAGAAUUGCAAAGAUAAAACGGGUAUUUUCCCAAAGUGAUAACAGUCUUCAAACCUGGCAGUCGUCGUAUAAAGAAAAGACGAGACGGCUGGAAGGGAACUCUCCUUGUGCAACCUUAAGGCUGCAGCCUUAAUGCCUUGAGUCACCACACGGCCGCUUGGUUCCGGUUAGUGUCCUCACUGUGGCAGGGAUGUUAGCCAGACGAAGGGGCUUUGCUGGUGACUCACCUGAUUCAAGGCCAUCUGCCCGGGGGAGGAGGGGGGGAGACCACAAAAAGACCACAACACACAACACCCGCAGAUGAAUAGAUAUAUCACCUCGCAGAUCCAGUUACGACGAGUCAACAAUGGACACAAAAGGCUCAAUGUACACGCCGGAUCAAAAAGAGCCUUCAGAUAAUGGGUCCAGAACGCUGCAGGUCUGCCCAGAACCUCUGUGGGCGAGGACAAUGCCGGCAUGGAUCUGGAUACGGUGACGUCUCCUAUUGCUCCCCGUCCCCACUCCCAAGAAGAAAAAUCCCCAUUUGAGACAAAGACGUUUGUCAAGGUCCCGUCACAGGAAAAGGGGGAUUUGAAGAUUUUCAAAAGCAGAGGCUGACAGUUCAGAUGUGGUGGAGCCUUUGCCUGGUGACACAUGGAGAUAAUAACCGUGGCAGUGACUCAAGAGUCAAAUACCAACAUUUUUCACAAAGCCAUGGUGGAAGAAGUCAUACAUUGUCACUUUAAUCACCUUCUAAACCUCGGGUAUGUCGUUUUUUUGUGGAGAAGAAAAGUCUCCACUGCUGUGGAAGACGACCGGCAAGC